UACGGCCACAUCAUAUUCAAACAUCAUCUCUCGUACGAUCACCGAAGUUAAGCAUCGUCGAGUCUGGUCAGUAUCUUGAUGGGUAACCACUUGGGAAUAUCUGAUGCUGUAAG
Molecule: ribosomal RNA, 113 nt
Filed under: Acanthosepion pharaonis
Lineage: Eukaryota; Metazoa; Mollusca; Cephalopoda; Sepiida; Sepiidae
Source: RNAcentral